CAGUCGCCGCGGGAAUACGAAGGGUGCAAGCGUUACUCGGAAUUACUGGGCGUAAAGCGUGCGUAGGUGGUGGUUUAAGUCCGUUGUGAAAGCCCUGGGCUCAACCUGGGAAUUGCAGUGGAUACUGGGCCACUAGAGUGUGGUAGAGGAUAGUGGAAUUUCCGGUGUAGCAGUGAAAUGCGUAGAGAUCGGAAGGAACAUCUGUGGCGAAGGCGACUAUCUGGGCCAACACUGACACUGAGGCACGAAAGCGUGGGGAGCAAACAGGAUUAGAUACCCCAGUAGUCCCUGUCUCUUAUAC
RNAcentral lists this ribosomal RNA (301 nucleotides) under uncultured bacterium. Its description in RNAcentral is "partial 16S ribosomal RNA". It matches the Rfam family "Bacterial small subunit ribosomal RNA", at positions 509 to 807 of the family's 1533-position model. The record is from RNAcentral.